This 365-nucleotide long non-coding RNA is filed under the name Citrus sinensis (sweet orange). RNAcentral describes it as "long non-coding RNA (CSIN_LNC004215)". Lineage: Eukaryota; Viridiplantae; Streptophyta; Magnoliopsida; Sapindales; Rutaceae. The record is from RNAcentral.
AAAAAUCAGCAGCCGGAAUUCAAUUGAAGAAAAAGGCAGCCGCUUGAAUUAAUCUCCAUGACUGGUUUUAUCAAUUUUUCUAUUCCCAAUUUAAUUAUGUUAGGCUAAAUUUUUAUUUGGUUGAGGGUGAAUUCAAAACCCUAAACAUGCUAUGCAAUUAAAUUUAAAUUCUAUCAUUUAAUUUAUUUAAUUGAGAUUGUUUAUGUUCUUCUAUAAUUAAUGUUCAUGGUUUAUUCUUGUUUUGUUUGAGUGGCCAAUUAGAUAGGACUUGAAUAAAUUUUAUUGCUAGAUUAAAAUUCUUGAUCCGUAAUUGUCUUGAUAUUUUAAUCAUUAGUAGCAGGUUGGAAUUAAUGAUUUCAAUUGGA